Molecule: ribosomal RNA, 492 nt
Filed under: uncultured bacterium
Lineage: Bacteria
Description: partial 16S ribosomal RNA
Rfam family: Bacterial small subunit ribosomal RNA
Source: RNAcentral
AGUGAACGCUGGCGGUAGGCCUAACACAUGCAAGUCGAACGGCAGCACAGUAAGAGCUUGCUCUUACGGGUGGCGAGUGGCGGACGGGUGAGGAAUACGUCGGAAUCUACUUUUUCGUGGGGGAUAACGUAGGGAAACUUACGCUAAUACCGCAUACGACCUACGGGUGAAAGCAGGGGAUCUUCGGACCUUGCGCGAUUGAAUGAGCCGAUGUCGGAUUAGCUAGUUGGCGGGGUAAAGGCCCACCAAGGCGACGAUCCGUAGCUGGUCUGAGAGGAUGAUCAGCCACACUGGAACUGAGACACGGUCCAGACUCCUACGGGAGGCAGCAGUGGGGAAUAUUGGACAAUGGGCGCAAGCCUGAUCCAGCCAUACCGCGUGGGUGAAGAAGGCCCUCGGGUUGUAAAGCCCUUUUGUUGGGAAAGAAAAGCAGCAGGUUAAUACCCCGCUGUUCUGACGGUACCCAAAGAAUAAGCACCGGCUAACUUCGUG